GACGAACGCUGGCGGCGUGCUUAAUACAUGCAAGUCGAACGGAAAGGUCCUGCUUUUGUGGGGUGCUCGAGUGGCGAACGGGUGAGUAACACGUGAGUAACCUGCCCUUGACUUUGGGAUAACUUCAGGAAACUGGGGCUAAUACCGGAUAGGAGCUCCUGCUGCAUGGUGGGGGUUGGAAAGUUUCGGCGGUUGUGGAUGGACUCGAGGCUUAUCAGCUUGUUGGUGGGGUAGUGGCUUACCAAGUCUUUGACGGGUAGCCGGCAUGAGAGGGUGACCGGCCACAAUGGGCCUGAGGUACGGCGCAGACUCCAACGGGCGGCAACAGUGGGAAAUAUUACGCAAUGAGCGGGAGCCUGAUGCAACGACGCCGCGAGCGGGAUGAUGGCCUUCGGGUUAUAAACCGCUUUCGCCUGUGCCGAAGCGUGAGUGACGGUAAUGAGUCAAGAAGCACCGGCUAACUACGUG
Molecule: ribosomal RNA, 468 nt
Filed under: uncultured bacterium
Lineage: Bacteria
Description: partial 16S ribosomal RNA
Rfam family: Bacterial small subunit ribosomal RNA
Source: RNAcentral